AAAAUGGCCUUUUUCAAAGCCACAUAUUGUGAAAAAUUGUUGUUUU
Non-coding RNA from Chelonia mydas (Green sea turtle), 46 nucleotides. Lineage: Eukaryota; Metazoa; Chordata; Testudines; Cheloniidae. The record is from Rfam.